CAGGAGGUGAUGAGAAGACAGAUGAGCUGGGCUGAGCAAGUCCACCUCGCUUACCCCCUGGUGGAAUGUUGGAGUGAGAGCUGCCUGACGGAUCCUCAUACCUGCAUGGAGGACCACCACGUGCCGAGGAAGCAGUCGGCAGCAGAAAAGCCGGUGAAUGGGUUCAACCAGGAGCAGGACCACUGGAACACCUUUGAUCUGAGUGAGUCGAUUAUGAAAGGAGGUUCUCUGAGGAAGACCUAAAGCUCAGCCACCAUCAGAUCAUUGGAUGUUUUUUGUUUUAUCCUACCUAAUCUAAUUGUUAACUAGAGUUUGUGAUUGGGGAGUGUUUUUUGUUUCAUCCUACCUAAUCUAAUUGUUCACUAGAGUUUGGGGAGCUUAAUGUUGCCUUUCUCAUGCUGGACACUGACUACUGAGUGGAAAUGGCUUAAACUGCUUCAUUUUUCACAUCUUGUGAAUUUUCCAGGCUGGCUGGACACUGUGGUGCCGGAGUGGCUCAAGGAGGCAGAGGAGGACAUGACUCCGAUCGAGCAGAUACACAUACUAUCACGUCUCCUGUAUACGGGUGAGACGGAUAUGCCUUUUGAAAUGUUUUUUUUAUUUUUUUUAUUAGUUUGUUUUUGGAGGGAGCAUAUUUAACUUUCUGUAUUCUGUAGUUCCCUGGUGUUUUGUCCAGAUUUACAUAAAUAAUUUCCUUUCAGAUGACAUGAUGAAUGAGUCUUGAGUUGACUUAAUGUGUGGUACUUGAUGUUUCGGCCUCACAGGAUAUGCAAGCACGCUGUUCACAAGGGUUGUGGACAGGAGAGAGACUGUUGGAAGAGGCUAUACUGCUACGUCCGUGCAGCAGUACCAGCUGUGUUCUGAAACAGAAAAGAGGAGGGCAGAGUGGGGUGAUGGAUUGAGAGAGAGAGUGACAGGAGGGCCCUUGUGAAAACUUAGCAGACUUUAAAGUGCUGUUAGUACAUUCAAUGUAUGCUACAUUUAAAUUAUUAAAUUUUGUGACAGAAGAUAAUAAUAUAAGACAACUACAAAAAUAUGCAAAGAGAAUACAGUCUCUGUAGAGUAGCUCUUAACAUAGCCUACCCAUACAUGCUUCACUAAAAGUCUACUAAUAGCAAUGGAAGUUAACUAUAUUGUAAAAAAU
Clupea harengus (Atlantic herring) is the source of this 1144-nucleotide long non-coding RNA. NCBI's taxonomy places the organism in Eukaryota, Metazoa, Chordata, Actinopteri, Clupeiformes, Clupeidae. The record is from Ensembl.